Non-coding RNA from Acanthosepion pharaonis, 81 nucleotides. The record is from the annotation of a GenBank genome assembly. Lineage: Eukaryota; Metazoa; Mollusca; Cephalopoda; Sepiida; Sepiidae.
AUUGAAAUACCUGUUCCCAUAAGAUCACUGAAGUUAAGCAAAAUUGAGUCUGGUCAGUACCUAGAUGGGUGACCACCUGGG